Molecule: long non-coding RNA, 2044 nt
Organism: Psammomys obesus (fat sand rat)
Lineage: Eukaryota; Metazoa; Chordata; Mammalia; Rodentia; Muridae
Exons: 2
Source: RefSeq, a predicted model, not a curated record
UAGACAGGGUUUCUCUGUGUAGUCUUGGAUUGGUCCAAGACUGUCCUGGAUUGGCUUUGUAGACUAGGCUGGCCUUGAACUCACAGUGACCCCCCUCCAGAAUGCUGCGAUUACAGGCAUGUGCCACCACGCCCAGCUUCUUUCACCUUUCUGAAGUAUACUAUCGCUCCAAUGUCUUUUAGACUCUGUGGUCUCUGAUGAGAAAUCCACGAUGGUUUCCCUGUAUAGAAUGUAUUAUUUUUUAGUAGUUGCCCUUAAGACUUUUUUUGUGGUUGUUGUAUAAAGUGUCUAGGAACUUAGAAAAAUUAUUUUGCUUGAGAAUGGCUGACUAUCUUAAAUCUAUAUACUUCCAUUUUUCAGCAAAUUUUCAAAGUUUUCAUCCUUUAUUUCUUCAAAUACCUCGUCUUCUCAAUUUUUAACCUCUUAGUCUUAGAUUCUAAUGGUAUGUAUAUCUGGCCUUGACUUUUGGUAGUCUUAUCAGUAAAAGUUAAUCAGAGAAACAGAACAAUAGGAUCUAUCUAUCUAUCUAUCUAUCUAUCUAUCUAUCUAUCUAUGUAUCUAUCUAUCUAUCUAUCUAUCUAUCUAUCUAUCUAUCUAUGUAUCUAUCUAUCUAUGUAUCUAUCAGAGAGGCUUCUGUACCAUCGUUGAAAGCCACGGUGGAGCAUAGCUAUUCAGCUCUGAGCAGCUAGGAAGCAGGGUGGGGUAACAGGCAGGGGCCAGGGCAAGAGACUACCUUUGAAGACACAGUAUCAGUUACCUUCUUCCUCCACCGAGGCCUCGCCCCCACAGCUCCACCAUCUCCCAACAGUCCAUUUGAACUUUUAGUCCAUCUGUGGAGUGAACCAUCAAUGAGAUCAGAGACCUGGUGAUCUUUAGAAAAACCCUCACACACAUACCCAGAGGGGUGCUUUACUGAUUCCCUAGGUAUUAUUCACCUAGUCACCGACAGUGAUGAUUAUCCAUUACCCCAGGGGAGCCAUCGAUGAAAGCCUUCCUCUGAAUCCAAUGCUCCAAGGACCACAAGCCAUACCUGUGAGAAGAAUAGGAGUGCACAGCUGGAUAGGAAGCUCCCGCAGCUCUGUGUCUUGUUUGUUUGUUUUGCUUUGUUUUGCAGUGCUGUGGAUCAAGCCCAAGGCCUCGGCACAUGACAGACAAGCACGCUACCUCCUGGUUCUACUUCCCACCACCAAACGGAGCAGAUCUGCCCUUCCUCUCUUCUUCUGUUCCAUGAUCACACCUCCACAAACACCCUCGGAAAUCUUCCAGCAGCUCUUCCCGGUGAUGCGUCUUUCUUAGGAGCUUUGCUGGCGCCCAGGAGUUUCUUCUCAGAACACAGGAGGGUACAAUGAUCCUGUAAGAAGUUCCCUCUGAACCUAUCUUGCUGCCUAAUUUUCAGGAUUUCUGUUGGGGAAAAGAAUCUACUAUCCUUGUCUCAAAGGUCUGUUUUAGUUUACAUUUUCUGUGUCAAAUAGAACAAUAAAAUGGAUCACAAUAGUUCCUACUCUUUGGAACCGUCACUUUGAAAGACCCCUGCCUCACCCUAAGUUAAACAUAGCUAACGCCAUUUUGUGGGACACCACUGUUUUGUAAAACUCUGAAGGCUAGAUGGGAAACUGGAAAAUUACUAAGAAACCCCCAGCUGUGUCACCCACUUGGGAUAUCUGUGGUCAGGCUGCCCCAGUCAAACUAAAAACAGUUUGUGUUAAUCACCCUCAUGGAUAUCUGUGAGACUGUUCCAGUUAAGAUAAGGGUCCUAAGGAAAACAACAGGUGACGGGCCACGUCAAGGGGUCAUCAUGACCAUUUUGACCACCCAGUUCCUGAAAUCUUGGUGUCCCUGCCAAACUCUGACUCAAAUUGUGGUCUCAUUUGAAUGUACCAAUCAGCCCCCUGUAACUAUGCUUCUCGCUUCUGUACUCACGCUUCUGCUCUAAAACCCUAUAAAAACCCCAGCUUUCCACCCAGGUGGGGCGCGCAAAGUCCUCCGAGUGACUCUGCUGCCCCGGGUACCCGUGUAUCAAAAUAAAAGCCUCUUGCUGUUUGCA